UCCUUGAAGCCUUUGCACUACAUUACCCAGGACAACUUGCGUUAAGGCAGCAACGUUGAUCCAAUGAAAAUCCAGAAAGGGUGCAUUUCCGGGAGGGCGAACCUCCGGGAGAGGGCCGUCUUCGUGGCGGACAUUUUGAUUGCUGUGGAGUCUGAGGAGCUCGUCAGAAAGUCGAGGGCAGUGUGACCUUUGAGGAUGUUGCCGUGUUCUUCUCCUGGGAGGAAUGGUGUCUUCUUGAUGAGGUUCAGAUACACCUAUACCUUGAUGUCAUGCUGGAGAACUUUGCAGUUAUAUGCAUGCUGGGUUCUUGGUGUGGAGUCAAGCAUGAAUAGAACAUAUCUGAGGAUGGAGUGUCAACAGGGCUUCCCUGGUGGCGCAGUGGUUGAGAAUCUGCCUGCUAAUGCAGGAGACACGGGUUCGAGCCCUGGUCUGGGAAGAUCCCACAUGCCACGGAGCAGCUGGGCCCGUGAGCCACAGCUGCUGAGCCUGCGCGUCUGAAGCCUGUGCCCCGCAACGGGAGGGGCCGCGAUAGUGAAAGGCCCGCGCACCGCGAUGAAGAGCGGUCCCCGCACCGCGAUGAAGAGUGGCCCCCACUUGCCGCAACUAGAGAAAGCCCUCGCACGAACCGAAGACCCAGC
This is a long non-coding RNA of Balaenoptera acutorostrata (minke whale), 638 nucleotides long. RefSeq lists it as uncharacterized. Lineage: Eukaryota; Metazoa; Chordata; Mammalia; Artiodactyla; Balaenopteridae. The transcript has 4 exons. The record is from RefSeq and is a predicted model, not a curated record.